UCACUGCAUUGAAUGAUCCUUCUGAGGCUGUUCUAUCAUCUUAGACAUGAAGACUUCUACUGCAGCUUGGGGUUUCAUCUCAUGUCUAUGGAUUUUAAACAUAGUUUUAGCCCAAUAUAUGAGAAGAUUCUUAAUAAGGCUUUUGUUCCAGCCAUCUGUUUGUAUGUGAAUGGAGCAGACAUGGGUAUAUCACGAGGAUGACUGACAGAUGGAAUUAUCUUUGAAAGGAUAUCAAGCUGGACUUCUUCGACUGGAUAUUUAACAGCAAACUUUCAGAUUCAGUCUUUAGUGUAUUUAUUAAGACGUGCGGAUUCUUUCCAUUACAAAAGGAUAUUGUCAGGAGGCUGAAUGAAGUGCAGAUCCACUAACCUUUGGGAAACCCAUCCGUCUCACGGUCAAUCCAAAAGAUGUACCGAAAACUCCUCCGUUUCUGUCCAUCUUGUCCCCUAUCAAGGACGAUGAACCGGAUAUUUGUCUGGCCGCCGGGUUCUUUCCUCAAGAAAAUAAAAUGACUUUGACUUUGGAAGAUAACAAGGAAGUGGAUCUUCAAACCAGCAAUGCGCCUUUAUCCAGCUCGACCAGAAGAUAUUAUUAUGCUGGAUUCAGUGGUAAAUCAAAAAUCCAAACAUGCAAAAUGGAUGGAGAAAACACAGACAAAACUGACAAAACUGACCCUACUGAAUCAACAGUAGAUCAACCCGAACCAACGACUCCAAAUCCUUGUGAAACAAGUCAAACUAAAACUUCUGCCUCAGAGUUCAUAGACACUGGUGUUCCAAAAAUGAACUUCAUGAAUCUUCUUGUGACAGGUCUGAGAAUUCUGCUCGCUAAAUGUGUUG
Molecule: long non-coding RNA, 839 nt
Organism: Carassius gibelio (silver crucian carp)
Lineage: Eukaryota; Metazoa; Chordata; Actinopteri; Cypriniformes; Cyprinidae
Exons: 5
Source: RefSeq, a predicted model, not a curated record